Molecule: ribosomal RNA, 583 nt
Filed under: uncultured bacterium
Lineage: Bacteria
Description: partial 16S ribosomal RNA
Rfam family: Bacterial small subunit ribosomal RNA
Source: RNAcentral
CUAAGAAUAUUCCGCAAUGGACGGAAGUCUGACGGAGCGACGCCGCGUGGAUGACGAAGGCCGAAAGGUUGUAAAGUACUUUUGCUGGGGAAGAAUAACCGCAGGAGGGAAUGCCUGUGGGAUGACAAGAACCGGCGAAUAAGCCCCGGCCAACUACGUGCCAGCAGCCGCGGUAACACGUAGGGGGCGAGCGUUGUUCGGAAUUACUGGACGUAAAGGGCAUGUAGGCGGCUUGGAAAGCCUGGCGUGAAAGUCUGCAGCUUAACUGCAGGGGUGCGCUGGGAACUGCUGAGCUUGAGUGACGGAGAGGGAGCUGGAAUUCCUGGUGUAGGGGUGAAAUCUGUAGAUAUCAGGAAGAACACCGAUGGCGAAGGCAAGCUCCUGGCCGAUGACUGACGCUGAGGUGCGAAAGUGUGGGGAUCAAAACAGGAUUAGAUACCCUGGUAGUCCACACAGUCAACGAUGUGCACUAGGUGCUGGGGCGGUAGCUUCGGUGCCGGAGCGAACGUGGUAAGUGCACCGCCUGGGGAGUAUGCUCGCAAGGGUGAAACUUAAAUGAAUUGACGGGGUCUAGCUGUUUCCU